This 274-nucleotide ribosomal RNA is filed under the name uncultured bacterium. RNAcentral's name for it is "partial 16S ribosomal RNA". It matches the Rfam family "Bacterial small subunit ribosomal RNA", at positions 523 to 796 of the family's 1533-position model. The record is from RNAcentral.
AUACGAAGGGGGCUAGCGUUGUUCGGAAUUACUGGGCGUAAAGCGCGCGUAGGCGGACUGAUCAGUUGGGGGUGAAAUCCCAGGGCUUAACCCUGGAACUGCCUCCAAUACUGUCAGUCUUGAGUUCGGGAGAGGUGAGUGGAAUUCCUAGUGUAGAGGUGAAAUUCGUAGAUAUUAGGAAGAACACCAGUGGCGAAGGCGGCUCACUGGCCCGAUACUGACGCUGAGGCGCGAAAGCGUGGGGAGCAAACAGGAUUAGAUACCCGCGUAGUCC